RNAcentral lists this ribosomal RNA (474 nucleotides) under uncultured bacterium. RNAcentral describes it as "bacterial SSU rRNA". It matches the Rfam family "Bacterial small subunit ribosomal RNA", at positions 27 to 518 of the family's 1533-position model. The record is from RNAcentral.
GGACGAACGCUGGCGGCGUGCCUAACACAUGCAAGUCGAGCGAGGAGAUCCUUCGGGAUGAUCCUAGCGGCGGACGGGUGAGUAACACGUGGGCAACCUGCCUCAUAGAGAGGAAUAGCCUUCCGAAAGGGAGAUUAAUACCUCAUAACAUUGCAGUUUCGCAUGAAACAGCAAUUAAAGGAGCAAUCCGCUAUGAGAUGGGCCCGCGGCGCAUUAGCUAGUUGGUGAGGUAACGGCUCACCAAGGCGACGAUGCGUAGCCGACCUGAGAGGGUGAUCGGCCACAUUGGGACUGAGACACGGCCCAGACUCCUACGGGAGGCAGCAGUGGGGAAUAUUGCACAAUGGGGGAAACCCUGAUGCAGCCAACGCCGCGUGAGUGAUGACGGCCUUCGGGUUGUAAAGCUCUGUCUUCAGGGACGAUAAUGACGGUACCUGAGGAGGAAGCCACGGCUAACUACGUGCCAGCAGCUGC